RNAcentral lists this ribosomal RNA (886 nucleotides) under bacterium FTA62. RNAcentral's name for it is "bacterial SSU rRNA". It matches the Rfam family "Bacterial small subunit ribosomal RNA", at positions 456 to 1344 of the family's 1533-position model. The record is from RNAcentral.
CUACGUGUAGCUUACUGACGGUACCGUAAGAAUAAGGACCGGCUAACUCCGUGCCAGCAGCCGCGGUAAUACGGAGGGUCCGAGCGUUAUCCGGAAUUAUUGGGUUUAAAGGGUCCGUAGGCGGGCCGUUAAGUCAGGGGUGAAAGUCUGCGGCUCAACCGUAGAAAUGCCUUUGAUACUGGCGGUCUUGAGUUAUGGUGAAGUUGCCGGAAUAUGUAGUGUAGCGGUGAAAUGCAUAGAUAUUACAUAGAACACCGAUUGCGAAGGCAGGUGACUAACCAUAUACUGACGCUGAUGGACGAAAGCGUGGGGAGCGAACAGGAUUAGAUACCCUGGUAGUCCACGCCGUAAACGAUGGAUACUAGCUGUCCGAGGCCUUGAGUCUUGGGCGGCCAAGCGAAAGUGAUAAGUAUCCCACCUGGGGAGUACGUUCGCAAGAAUGAAACUCAAAGGAAUUGACGGGGGCCCGCACAAGCGGUGGAGCAUGUGGUUUAAUUCGAUGAUACGCGAGGAACCUUACCAGGGCUUAAAUGCAUAUUGACAGGGCUAGAGAUAGCUUUUCCUUCGGGCAAUUUGCAAGGUGCUGCAUGGUUGUCGUCAGCUCGUGCCGUGAGGUGUCAGGUUAAGUCCUAUAACGAGCGCAACCCCUACCGUUAGUUGCCAGCAUGUCAUGAUGGGGACUCUAACGGGACUGCCGGUGCAAACCGUGAGGAAGGUGGGGAUGACGUCAAAUCAUCACGGCCCUUACGUCCUGGGCCACACACGUGCUACAAUGGCCGGUACAGAGAGCAGCCACUUGGCAACAAGGAGCGAAUCUAUAAAACCGGUCACAGUUCGGAUCGGGGUCUGCAACCCGACCCCGUGAAGCUGGAAUCGCUAGUAAUCG